UACGGAGGGUGCAAGCGUUACUCGGAAUCACUGGGCGUAAAGAGCGUGUAGGCGGAUUAAUAAGUCAGAAGUGAAAUCCAAUAGCUCAACUAUUGAACUGCUUUUGAAACUGUUUAUCUAGAAUAUGGGAGAGGUAGAUGGAAUUUCUGGUGUAGGGGUAAAAUCCGUAGAGAUCAGAAGGAAUACCGAUUGCGAAGGCGAUCUACUGGAACAUUAUUGACGCUGAGACGCGAAAGCGUGGGGAGCAAACAGG
This 253-nucleotide ribosomal RNA is filed under the name uncultured bacterium. Its description in RNAcentral is "partial 16S ribosomal RNA". It matches the Rfam family "Bacterial small subunit ribosomal RNA", at positions 524 to 776 of the family's 1533-position model. The record is from RNAcentral.